GCCUUCGUUCCUUAACAGCAUGAUGAAGUUUAAUUCUCUCGCACGGGCUCGAGUGAUUGGCCCAACUGGAUGAGCAACUGUAGGCGCCUGAGGUGGAGGAGCAAUUUGAGGCGCCUGAGGUGCUGCUGGUGUAGAUGUACUCGUGGUGUCCUCAUCAUCCUCCCCUUCUUGAACUGAAGUCGUCCUCGACGGCAACUCCUC
RNAcentral lists this long non-coding RNA (201 nucleotides) under Setaria italica (foxtail millet). RNAcentral's name for it is "long non-coding RNA (SITA_LNC007369)". The record is from RNAcentral. Lineage: Eukaryota; Viridiplantae; Streptophyta; Magnoliopsida; Poales; Poaceae.